AGAUGGAAGAAAAAUACAACGCCAGCCUUUUGGCGGCCGGAAUGCAUUGUGAAGCCCAACAGUUAAUUGCUGAGGGAGUCGGUUUAGUGUUGCAAUCGUACAAGUUGGACUCAUACGUUCAACGUCUCGCGGAAUGCCUUUUCCAUUUUCAUGAGAAAGUUGAUGACUUGUUGGCUAUCGAAGAGCAAAUUGAUGUCGAUGUUCGCUCGCUGGAGACUUGCGCUUAUUCUGCCAACACGUUUGCUGACAUCUUGUCCAAGAUCCAGAAGAUGACCUGAGUCUUCGUCAGUAUUCGAAUUUGCAACAAUGGGUCACUAAACUAGACGAAGAAUUAGAAAAGCGUUUGGCUUCCGGUGGUGGAAUUGGUGGAAUUCAGGCCUGGACCCCUGCUCUUGAGGGUCGCAAAGAAGUCGACGUCGACUACACCAUGGACACCGAUGCAGUGGAACUUGGCGGCCAGCCCCAGAUCCGCACAAUUAUUCAUGAAAUUUGCGUUACUAACCAGACGAUGUAUCUGCAUCCGCCACUGCCUGAAGCUCGUACCAAGAUCUAUGAUCUGAUGUUUGAUUGGCAAGCCAUUGUCACGUCUUUGACUCGUAUCCAGAGUACCGGUUAUCAAGUUGCGCUAGAUCGGCCUACUCCACAAACCUAUCGAAAUCUACUCACAAACAUGCCAGAUGGCCCGGAAGUCCUGGCUGCCGCGAGUGCCGCCUGUACUGCCAUUGAGGGAAGAAUGAAGGAGGUGAAAGUCUACGUCGACGACUCUUAAGGAGGAUCAAUCUCUCUGGCUAUGAAAACACCCACAGAUGGCUGCGGAGAGAAAGAACGUGGCGUCGGGACUGAAAUUUUCAGGUCAACAUGUUAACGACCUUCCAAGAUGCUGAGGCUCCUGAACAUCAAUCCCGUGUGCAAAUUUGGAUUCAAGAGUAUGAGAAGAAUCGUCAGGUUUUCGUCUUCAGAACUCCAACUGUGGGUACUUUCUACUUUCUCCACCUUGUUACUAGUGCUUGGAUUGCUGUCUCUUUUGAUCCAGAUUGCCUCGUCUUCAUUGCGCUAUAGGUUCGUGCUUAGUCUCCUCGGCUCUGGUAUCUGGAUCGGUAUGUUUGGCGUGGCGAUGAUACCGCGAUCCAUUUGAAACUGAAAGUUAACGUUUUAACUCAUUCAAAACAGCCGAGCCACACCGCGGAACAGUCGAGUUCCGGGAGAAGAUUCCGUUGCAGCUCAUGCCCGUAGGCCAGUUAUAACAAGAGCCAAUACGUUUACCACCGGCAGUUCCAUCGGCCGCGGGGAUGCACCUUACAAGUGUUUGCAAUGCUCCUACAACGUCAGCCGGAGGCAUUUGCUGAAUCAAAACCUCAGCGUCCACGGCCUGCCGCCCGUCGGCCUCCUGGACGGUGAUAACUACGCGUCCAAUUCGGAUGCCAUCGGGUCGGAAGCCGAAGCCGAAGCCGAAGCCGCCGAGGCCAUUAAAAUGGCGGACGACGAAGUGAUGGUGGCCGCUGCUGGAGAUCAUUCGCCCACGCCCAUCUCGGCCUGUUCGCUGUUCGCCUUCCUCGGCCGUCGCGGCCGCAUCCAGCAGCAGAAGGCUACACCCACCUGGGCCAGGAUCCCAACACGAUCGCCCGUCUGCCGGACUCUGCCACGGUUUCGCUGCUGGACAUUCCGCUGACGUGGGUGUCGCGGUGGACGAAAUUUUACAAAAUGUUCAAGUGCCGCCACUGCCCGCACGUCAACGUCCGCUAGAGCAACAUCCAGGAGCACGAGAAGAGACACCAGACGAAGCUGGGCAGCGCUGCCGGCGACAACAUGCACGCCUGCUCCAUGUGCAAUUACCGGUGCAACAACGCCGGCGUC
RNAcentral lists this long non-coding RNA (1854 nucleotides) under Daphnia pulicaria. Its description in RNAcentral is "uncharacterized LOC124344088". Lineage: Eukaryota; Metazoa; Arthropoda; Branchiopoda; Diplostraca; Daphniidae. The record is from RNAcentral.